Gekko japonicus is the source of this 1880-nucleotide long non-coding RNA. RefSeq lists it as uncharacterized. NCBI's taxonomy places the organism in Eukaryota, Metazoa, Chordata, Lepidosauria, Squamata, Gekkonidae. The transcript has 3 exons. The record is from RefSeq and is a predicted model, not a curated record.
AGAUCCAAUAUCGAAAGAAAUCAAAACCAGAGCCUUCGGCCAUUUAUGAGAAAGUGGACGGAAUCUACACAGACCUCGUCACUCCACAAACCGACACGUACACACCCCUGGAGCUCCCCAAAGUCGAACCGCGGGUUAAAGUCUCCAAAGAAGACCCAGUAGUGGAAUAGGCGCUGCUGUUGCUUGCGGAAACCUUUUGACGGCAUCUGAAAAUCGCAAAACUGAGUUUGACGUGGGACGACCGUAGAGCGAUCCUCGCUGGGCCUUUAGGAAAGACUCUGACCUCUUUUGUACUUUGGCUAACUGGAUUUGAAAGGGGGGGCUUGCAUAUAGCUGCCACUGCUUGAUCUUGGUCACCAGCAACCCAUCCUUACUCUUAAGAAUCUUGUCUAUUUCCUUCAUGGCUGCUCCUCCUGAUUUCUUGGUUGCAGUCUCCCUUUUGGAAAUGCAAAUACUGGGACUCAAAGGUGGCAUGCAAACACUUCAGAAGAACCAUUAAAAAAAUUAGAAGAUCAUGGUUAGCCUAUAGAAGCAGCGGGCAAAGAGACAUGGUUUAUCUUCUACCUCCCGAAGGCCUUGCAAAUUCCAGGGUGAUAGCUCUGUUGGCUUGUUGCUUCAAAAGCAAAAAGGAGAGUCACAAACCUUUUAGGACAAACCGAUGCACGGGAAGCAUAAUUUUCUAGAUUCAGUUCUCGGUCGGCAGAUAUAUAAGCACACAGAGGAAAAGCCACAUAAGGAAUAUCUUAUACCCUCUUGAGUUGAAAAUGUAAUGGUGCCACUUGCAUCGCAUGGACUUUUAAUCUCCUCUGUUCAUAUGGUUUCUUCCCCACCGUGUGCAUAUCUGCUGAUUAAGAAUCCACCCCGUACAUCGGACAAAGUGAGCUCUAGUGGUCUGCGAAAGUUUCAGUCACAAUCAAUCUGGUACUCUUCAAGGUGCCACAAAACCUCGCUUUGCAAUUUUCCUAAUGGGGACGGAGUUUUCAGGAAAUUUGGUCAAAUUGUCUUUCUCAAGGGGGACAGAACCUGGACGGUGCUUCUUAGCAUCGCCUCAGAUAAUCAUCUCUUGAGAGGAAGAAGAAGAGCAGGAGAGAUGGGUAGCCGGGACCUGAAAGGUUCAUCGUUUCCUCCUUGACCACACUGCAUCGAACUGAAGCCAUUUUGCAAAGGAGAAAGUAUGCCAAGCCCAGUGCAGAUCGCACUGUUUCUAAGGCAUCAUUACUGGUGCACGAAUGGGAUUUGUGUAUUCUGAAAGAAACUGAGAGUGCUCUAUUAAGAUGAAUUUGCUUAAUCUGUGCAAUUCUCUUAACUGAGGGUAUCUGGACUGCCUCCUCCCAUACAGUCCAGACCACCAAUUAAGAUCGGUCUCCCCAGCUCUCCUCGCUCUCUGCCCCCUACCUGCAGUGGGUGGCAACAAAAGAUAGGGCUUUUUCAGUGGUGCCCCCCACCCGGCUCACCUGGCGCCUAUCCUACUUCUUUAUUUAUGGCAUCGGGCCAAAUAAUUUCAUUUACCCAGGUUUUUAAUUAAGGCGUUGAUGUCUGGUUCCAGCCUGAACACUGUUAUAUGAGAAUCAGUUUAGGCUGCUAAAUAGGUCUGGGGACAGGGGAUACCCUGCCCUCAGGUCCCCUUGCCCCCCCAAAAACAGCCUUGUAUACUCACCAAAAGUUCAUACAGGAAGUGAUAAACUGUAGCUCUAGGAAUUGCCUUUAUGUUUUUCUUCCACAGAGUGAUUUCCAGUGAUUUCUAGAGCUGCCCUUUGUCACUUCCUUAUGAACGUCCAUUAAGUGCGUAAGACUGUAGGUUUUAUUUUUUAUUUUUUGACGCAAUGCUUUGCCACUCCCUACCCUCCCGCUUUUUGCUGUUUUUAUGCUUUGGCUGGGGU